RNAcentral lists this long non-coding RNA (377 nucleotides) under Androctonus crassicauda. The record is from RNAcentral. Lineage: Eukaryota; Metazoa; Arthropoda; Arachnida; Scorpiones; Buthidae.
UAAACCUAAUGUGGGUCUAUGAUGAGUUUCACUUAAAUGCAGUCUAUUUAUAUUAAGGACCAAUAUUAAAGAGUUAUGGAUAAUAAUACUUCAAAGUGGUGGUUGCAUUGGAAUAAGUGUACGUCUUGUCAGCUAGAUUCCUGGUGUAAAAUAAUUUUACUGUAGGCAAGUUGACAGAAAAAAAACAUCACCUCUGUACUCUAUAGCCCAUUAAAAUUGUGUCCUGCCUCCACCAGUGUGGUGGUUUGAAUGAAUAUGGGAUCAUGGUCUCAUAUUUGGAGGUUAGGUCACCAGGGAUUGGAACCGUUUGAUAGGAUUAGAAGGAUUGGGAGGCAUGGCCUCUGGGAGGAUGUGCGACCCUGUGGGUGGUCUUUGAG